Molecule: long non-coding RNA, 7032 nt
Organism: Peromyscus californicus insignis
Lineage: Eukaryota; Metazoa; Chordata; Mammalia; Rodentia; Cricetidae
Exons: 3
Source: RefSeq, a predicted model, not a curated record
ACGCUGGGCGGGGUGCGGCGUUCUCUGGGCUCCGGAGGCGGAACUGGGUCUCCCAGGGUUGGGUAGUACAGUUGAGGUCAAGCUCCCCGCGUUCCUGGCUUUGCGCCUAGCUGUACGCAUUGCAGGUUCUGUUUCAACCACUAUGGGAAAAGGAUUUUGGUUGGGUUUGUUUUAUUUUUUAGAUUUUUUUUUAUGUGUAUGAGUGUUUUGUCGGCAUGUAUGUACGUGCACCAGGUGCGUCCCUUGUAAAAGAAAAGUCAUCGCAUCCCUUGGAACCGGAGUUAUGGAUGGUUGUUAGCUGAGAAGCGAACCCAGGUCCUUCGUAAGAGCAACGAGUGCGCUUAACCGCUGAGCCCCCUAAAAUAUACUUAAAAAAAAGAAGAAGAAGAAAAUAUGAUGAGCGGGCCAUCUACCUGCUUCCCCAAUAGAACAACAGUUUAUAUAGCAUUAAUUGCGUUAGUUGAUGUACUAAUCCACAGAUGAUUUAAAAUAUGCAAGAGGAUUUAUGUAGUUUUAUUGCAGACACUGUGCUAUUCGAUAUAAGGCGUCCGCUAGUUCAUUAUUUGCAGGGGGCGUGUUAACAAUCUCCUAGGUCACCAGUCGGUUUAUGCGUAUCGCGUCUGGCCAGGAUCGGUUUAGCGCUGGAGUUCAGGAAGCGCUUGGUUAACUCUCCUAGACAGUCUCAUUUAAUCAGAUCUUCCAGAAGCUGACGUUUCCUUGAUGCAUGGCUGAGAGUCACUUCCAGGAACAGGCUGGAAUUUGCCAGCGCCCUUUAUCGACGGAAUUGUGUAAUUAGUGGCAUUGUUCAGGCUGUGGCCAGUUUAAGGGCGCUCUGUUCUUCUGGUCACCGUGUUCCCGCUCUGUUCUCCGGAUUGUUCUGUUAUCUCUACCGGGUCCAUUUGGUUUGCCGUGCACGGUUAAAGGGUUUGUCUGUUUUUAACAUUCACCAUUGUCACCCGCUUAGGUUCAGGGCAUACGAAUCCGACGUCGCCAUGUUGACUCCGGGCAGCUUCCGGGUUCCUCUCCUGGGUCCUGUCAAACCCACUGAUGUCUUCCAGGAGAGUUCAUGUGCAUUCACUAUUUUGCUCCACAAAACAAAUUUUGAAGCGAGAAGAGGGACAAAUCACUGUGAGUUCUUCUUACCCGGUCCCAGCCUGAGACGGGGUGUAGUGUAUGGAAAAUGUAAGUAAUGUGUAAAAUCUGUAACCGCAGAUGACAGUGGAGAUAUCACUAUGAGACUAUUAUUUAAGGAACUGAAGAUUCAACUUCCCUCUCGAAUUGGAGAGUGAAAUUUAAGCAGAAGUUAGUUCGUUAGUUCCUGGAGACCUUUUUCUUCGGCAAUCCCCAAGCUGCUUCAAGUUCGUGAGCUCCUUGUCUAUGAUCAGCCAGGAGCAAUAAGAAAUAAAAUCAUUUAAAAACUAAUAUCUCAUUAAGGAGGACGAAUUUGAGCCAUUGGGACCCCGAAGCCAGAUACACUUGAAAAUAACACUACUCUUACAGUUUUCUGGUUCUGUGACCUUGAUCCAGACCCCAACCUCCUGAAUCUUGGAUAUUUCCCCUGUAAAAUGAUAAGAACACAUGUCUCAAAAAGCAAAGAUUAAGAGUGACCGAGUAUAUAAAAAUGCCUACUAUGUGUUUGACAUCCACACUAAUCUGAAUUAGGAAGUGACAUUUGGUACUCUUUCGUUCCCUGAUCCUGAGUGAAUUAAACCUUCAACCUAAUUUCUGAGGGUUCUGGUGGACUCCUCACUCUCCUCACCAUCCCUCAACAUCCCCACCAAAAGCUACAGAGAAACCUUGUCUCAACAAACCAACCAACCAACCAACCAAAUAAACAAACAAAAAACCAGUUUGUCAAAGAGGCUCCUGUUUUCUUCUUCCUGGGACCUUUGGUCAUGAUGGGGGACAGGGCUGACGGGAGUAUUGUCACAGUCAUGUGGGUAUGAGGGAAAGCCCCACAUUGUGUCCACACGGCCCAACCCUAUCCUCAGGUCCAAUAAAGACCAGUCAUAAUCUGCAAAGCGGCAGAGCAUAGCAUUUUGCACCCACCACAGUCAUUUUUGCAUCAGUAGUGUGUGUGUGUGUGUGUCUAGUUUCAUGUGCCGGGCCAUGUCGUUCAAUCUCAAGAAAGAGUAGUCACACAGAUGACACUGGAAGGGCCAGUGGCCUGCGUGCAUGUGUGCAUGUGUGCAUGUAAUAAUGGCUGGGAAGCUGUCUGAGCAUGUGGAUUCCAGCUGCAGCUCUCCUGGUUGUAGUAGUUACCAGUCCUUCCUACUUGGUGGGUUCCGGGCCAGUGAGAGAUCCUAACUUUAAAAAAGAAAAGGAAAAAAAAAUAAAAAGCAUCUGAGUAACAGCAACCCAGGCUCUCCUCUGGCCUCCACAAAGACACGCACCUCCCCACGUAUGAACAUGUACAAACACACAUGAAAAGAAAAAAAAAGAAAGAAGAGGGCGUGAAGGAAGGUAAAGUGGUGGGGGGUGGGAGUGGAGGGGGAUCUUUAAUGUGAAGAGAAAUAAAUACCUCCUGAUGAGUCAUGGUGAUGGAUUUAAAAAAAAACACAGUGGGAAGUGGGGAUAUGAGCAACAUGCAAAAACAAAUAUGUAUAAAAUGUCAAAGUGAAACCCAUUAUUUGUAUACCAACUAAAUUUAAAGAUAACCUUUUAAAGAUAUGGGGGCAGGGAGGCUCAAUGGUUAAGAGCACUGACUGUAUUACAGAGGACCCGGGCUGGUGGCUCACAACAAUCUGUAACUCCAGUUGCAGGGGAUCAGACAGUUUUCUUCUAGCCUCCAUGGACAACCUCACACACACAGAUGAUACAUAGUUAUACAUGCAGGUAAAACACUUAUAUGCAUAAAAAUGAACAAAUUUUCAAAUAAAACAACCCAGGGACACUGUGCUAAACUCAAGGUAGGUUCCUUACUCCAGAAGAUCAGCCUGUGGUCUCCUGUUGGGAAGGUGAUUAAUCUUCCUCAGGCUCCUGAUACUUUCCAAUCACAGGAAUCAUUAUGGAACGUUGCUGUAAACCCUGGAAGGUCUGUUUGCUUCUUUUCAUGAGGGGAUUAAAGACACUGCAUCCUUGUGCAGCUAAGAGAAAACGCUUUCACGGAACCAAGAUGUUGGAAUCAAGAUACCCCCUGCACAGCUGCCCCUCAAGAUACCCCCUGCACAGCUGCCACUCAAGAUACCCCCUGCACAGCUGCCACUGAGAACAGUGGAGGCAGCAAAGAAGAUAUUGCAUUUUGGUGUUGGUGAGCAAGAAAGAAGAUGGUCUUUGCCCCCUUCCAACCCCAAUAACUUAAACUACCAGAGCAGCCACUUCAAGAUGCUUGUCUUGGUUAGUGGACCAGGAGAUGAAUACUUGAGUCAGAUAGAUGCUUUGGACCCGUGGGAUAAACAUAGGGCCCUCGACAUCCUGAAGCUUCGGGACCAACCACUUACAUAGCUAUAAGCCCAAGUUUGAGCAUCCCCUGCAACUCUCCAGUGGGUUGGAACUCAUGCUCUUCCUGCCUUAGCAUCCUGACUGCCUUUCGGAUUACAGGCUUGUGCCGCCACACCCAGUUUACCCCAAAGAGCUGACCUAUAACGAAGGAUUUACUUUGGCUUAUAGUUUCACUUAGACCUGUCACUUUGGGCCUGUGGUGACGCAAUCAUGAUGGGACUAUGUGGUGGAACAGAACCCGGGAAGAAAACAUGAGAGGAAUAUGGGGUCCCCACAUCUCCUUCGAGGCCAUUUCCUUAGUGACCUAACUUCCUCCCAGUGUUUUCCACUUCGUAAAGAUUGCACCACCUCAGAAGAGUGCCACAGGCUGGGGACCAAGCCUUUAACACAUGGGUGUUAGAGACAUUUCAGAUCCCACCGGCUGUGACUAUUGCACACAUCAACUAACAGCAGCUGUGGUUAACUGUAGAAGACCAAGCCAAUCAAAAGUUCAGCACGGAUCGGGGAGGGUCCCCAAGCCCCUAUCCCUGUUGGAGGAGCUACUGGAAGUUGAUGGCUGCUGCAGGAAGGAGAGUCACUGUCCUUUGGGGACUUGGCUGUUGGUAGGAUGCUCAUGCCCCAGCGGAUGGCUGUAUUUCCAUGCACUGUGUGGUAUAUGGGUAGCACUAAUUAGACUCGGGGAGUUAUUGAUAACAAUAAUAAUAAAAAGAAAGACAUGAAGUUGGAAGGGAGAUAGGGUCGAGGCACUAGAGGGGGUUGGAGGGCGAUAGUGAUGGACGGAUAUGAUCAAAAUACAGUGUAUACAUGUAUGGAUUUUUCAAAGAACAAAAAUAUCAUUUGUAAAAAAGCUUUGUUGACCACCCCUCCCCCUUACAUACACAUGUGUUCUCUGCUCUCCCACUUCCACCCCUGCCUGACAGUGGCUUCCUCCAUUUAAGGUGUAUCAAAGUUCACCCUUGUUAUAGCAUGGAUCAGUAUGUCAUUUCUUUUGUGGCCAAAUUGUACAUUACCAUAGAUAGAUAGAUAGGUAGAUAGAUAGAUAGAUAGAUAGAUAGAUAGAUAGAUAGAUAUAGAUAGAUACAUAUAUCUAUACAUAUAUCAUAUCAUAUCAUAUCUAUUGAUUCCUCCACUGCUGAUGCAGUGUCUGAUGCUGAUGUUGUUUCUACCUCUGGGCUGCUAAGAACACUGGUUUGUGUUUGCUUGAGUGCCUGUUUCUAAUACAGUCGAGGAUGUAUCUCAGAGCGGACUUGCUGAGUCAAAGUCAAACUGUCUUCCCCAGCAAUUAUACUACUUUCCAUGUCCCCCAGAAGGAUGGAGAUUUCAGUUUCUCCAUUUUCUCUUAGCAUCAUGACUAUGCUACUGAGUGUGAGGUGGGAUUUCAUUUUGCUUAUUCAUCUAUUCGAGGUAGGAUUUCCCCAUUUAAUGUUGGCCUCAAAUUCACCAUGCUGCUGAGAGUGAUCCUUCUGCUCAUGCCUGCCUUCAUAUUGAUUUUUAUUUUUGAGUGGCUAAGCUAUCUUUCCAUAUGCUUAUCAACCAUUUACACAGACACUCGAAGUAACUGCUCCAGAAAAUAAUUUUCCCUUUUUAUCCGUAUGGGUGUUUUCCCUGCAAGGAUGUCUAUAUACCACUUCUAUGCCUGGUGCCUUUGGAAGCCAGAAGAGGGCUUUGGAUCCCCUGGAGCUGGAGCUACAGAUGGCUGUGAGCUCUCAUGUGGGUGCUGGGAUUCAAACCCGGGUCCCCUGGAAGAGCAGCCAGUGCUCUUAACCACCGAGCCAUAGCUCUAGCUCCCUAGAAAAUUAUUCUGCCGUGCUUUGUUUUGGGAAUUCCAACUUCCACCUCCCCACCAGAGAUUUACUUCAAUGUCUCGACAGGCCUUUUUGUUUUACCACUGCAUCAAAAAUUUUAUUGCACGCAUAACUUGCUAGCAGAUUCUGACAGGCAUUUUAGAAGCCAUUUUGUAGUGUUCUAAAGCUUCGUGCCCAUCACAGGAAGGCAGUGCCUCUCGAAACAUAUUUAGAUUCCAUUAGGGUCCAUUUUGUUAUCACAUUGCCAACUCUCAGGGGUCAUUUUCUCUCCAUCAAAUGUCAUUCCACAGCAGCUCUGCUAUAGGAUGUGACCAAGUAGUACCAUUAGGUGGUGCUGUUGGGUUGAAAAUAUUCCAACCAACUCUAUUGUGGCUUUGCUAGCCUUCAGUUUUGCAGGCUGCUCAGAAAUCUUCUCUGAGGAAGCUAAUGCCUGCCCCUCUCCUCUCACCCCACACACCCACAGCCUGACACCCUCUCAUCACCCACUGCUAAUCAUGCCUCCCAAAGAAGUCCUCACCCAGGGAAUCUCCUCCCUGAUGACAUAACCAAGCUUUGCUGGUUGAGACACAUCAUCUCUUCCUUUCAUGUCCUACCCAUUGCCCACUACCCAAGUCAUCACACUUAAUCCUUGCCCCAGCUCAUACACAGCUCUCCCCCUUUAGCUUCCUCACUCAUUCCCACUCGCUCAUGUUUCUGCCAGCUAUCUGGCAUGAACUUCCAGAGUAGCAGCUCACUUCUCCUUUCUGUUAUUCUCCUUCCAAGGAGUUGAGGGAAAGUGGUCCGGAAGAGCCUUUGUCUCACCAUCAAAGCCAUUUCCUCUUCCUUGAAAGUCUAAUCACCUUCCUCAGCCACAUCUUCUCUAGCAUUUUGCACCAUCUCUAACAUUCCUCACUGUCAGCAAAGCCCUAAAUUCUUUCAGGAACCACCACAGGACUAGAUUCAUCUGUCACGUACUCCACACUUAAAAGCGAAGCAAAACAAACCAAAACCAAAACCAAGAAAUAGGAGCCAGGAAUGUAAUUCAACAGAGUGCUUUGCCAGCAUGCACAAAGCCUCAUGCCCAACAAUGAACGAAUGCAGACGUGGUGGCACAUGCUGGUAGCAUCAGCAUUGAGAGGUGGUGACAGGAGGCUGGAAGUUCAAGGUCAUCCUCGACUCUUCAAGGCAUUCAAGUAGCCUGGGGUUUAUGAAAGCCUAUCUUACAAAGGCAAUAAAACACAAAAUGUAGGGGUUAAAGAGAUAGCCAUGAAGAACACUUGCUUUUCUUCCAGAGGAUCUGCGUUAGGUUUCCAGCAUCCACUGCAGGCAGCUCCAGCUCCAGGAGAUCUGAUACUUUUUUCUGGCCUCUACAGGCACCCGUACAUAUAUGGCAUACACAUACCACCACCAACAACAACAACAACCCAACUUGGAAAAAACAUUUUACAGCUGGAAAGUACAGCUCAGUAGAGAGUAUUUGCUUAGCAUACAUGAGGCCCUGGGUUCAAACCCCAGCCCUGCAAUUAAAAAAACACAAAAUACAUACAUAAAUAUACAUAUAUAAAAUUACACUUUCCAAAUAUUUUACUAAAGCAUUUAUUUUUUUAAACAAAAAUAUACAUUAAAUCUCAGAUUUACAGCAUAUAGAAAUAAUUUAUGAUUUGCAUUUUAAAAUUAUUAAUAUUGCACCCAACAGUGUAAGUCUUUGACACAUAUGCAUUGUCAACCUUUCCCACCAUUCAAAAAAAAGUGAAACUUGAAACUGACAAAAUUCACAAGCUAAAUUUUCUGUAAAAAAAAAAAAAGA